UUCUCUUUUUCCGAGAACUCCGUGACUGUGGAGGUCACAGCUCGAGCAGGACCCUGGGCUCCCCACCUGGAGGCUGAGCUGUGGCCGUCCCAGUCCCGGCUCUCCCUGUUGCCAGGACACAAGGUCUCCUUUCCCUGCUCGGCUGGCCGGAUACAAAGGUCACCCCCGAAGCCGCCUGGAAGUUCCAGCUCCGAGUUCCCUGGGACCACUUUUUGAGAUGUUAGGGACCCGCUCCAGAGCCCCCUCUGGGUCACCCUGGGUUCCUCCAGCCCCACUGAGUCACUCACUGUGGACCCUGCCUCUGAAUAAUCAGGAACGUUGGCUUCAGAGAUGUCUCUUGGGCCUUCCCUCUGGCCACUCCUUCUUCACCCACCCCUCCUGGGCACCCUCCCAGCCUGCCAUCCCUCACCUGCAGCCAGACUCUCAGGGAAGGUCCAUGCUGCUUGGCCUGAGUUCAAGGCUUUCUGCCUGUAGCCUGGACUCCCAUGGACCCCCGUGGGCAGGUGGCUUCCCCGUGGCAUCCCCACGCCGCCUCUGCCUGCCCCUGUGGACUGACGCUGUCACGCACCGUCCCAUGCCACCACCCCGAGCUCCUGACACCAGGGUCUGAGCCUGCAUCACCUCUGGCCUCUCAUCCCCCACUCUCCUGAGAGCCGUGGUCACAGCAGCCAGCUGCUCUGCUGAGAAGGCAGAGAAGCAGGCACAGGCCUCAGCCUGGACAGCAGGGAUAAGGGGCACGAAGGAAGGGGACUCGGCCCCUUCGGAAUUCCUCAAGACUCUCAGGUGCAGCUUUGCCAAAAAGGAACUUUUCAUGUCAUGCA
Long non-coding RNA from Nomascus leucogenys (northern white-cheeked gibbon), 821 nucleotides. RefSeq lists it as uncharacterized. The record is from RefSeq and is a predicted model, not a curated record. The transcript has 2 exons. NCBI's taxonomy places the organism in Eukaryota, Metazoa, Chordata, Mammalia, Primates, Hylobatidae.